Molecule: long non-coding RNA, 1287 nt
Organism: Larimichthys crocea (large yellow croaker)
Lineage: Eukaryota; Metazoa; Chordata; Actinopteri; Sciaenidae
Exons: 3
Source: RefSeq, a predicted model, not a curated record
AAAGGUGAAGCUGAAGAAGGGGAAGCUGAAGCUGAAGAAGCAGGAAAGGAUGCACCUCAAGCUAACAUGACUUCCACAGCCGAACCCAAAGGUGGAGUGAAUGCCACGCAGAUAUAACCAAAAAACCCUAAGGUUGCUUGAAGUCCUGGUCAAACCAAGCCCAGUAACAUCAUUCCAUCUGGAAGAAAAGUUUGGUCUCUUUCUACCAAUCUCUCUUUUCCUAUACAGUACAUGUCCCAUUUCCCUAAACAUUUUACAACUGUUUAGUGUUUUCAAAGCUAGGUGCUCCAAGCUAAAAUAAAAUCAAAUGUAUGUUUAGCCCCAGAUCAUGCCCUACAAACCAGUUAGACAUUAAGUCAGUAAUGAAGUAAACCUUGAUAGAAUUAAACAGUAGUGAAAGCACAAAACAAAAGACGAAACAAUCAUUACAUAUGGAGUCCCACAAGGCUUAAUUCUGGGUCCUUUAGCUUUGAUUUUUUUUAUUUUAUUUUAUUUUUAUUCAUUUAGGAUUUUUAAUGUAAAAUUGGUUUACCAGUCCUAAAAUGUGGUGAAGCAGCGGAACUACCAGCAGCAAACCAAAGGCAAAGAUAUGAUUAAAGACAUGAAAUGCUUAUCAAAUUCUAUGUUUCAUUGUUAUUGUAAGACUGAAUACUAUUUUACAACCUAAUUUACAUGCAUAUAUGGAAAACAAGGAAACCCCGAUGUUUAACUGACAAUAGCACAAAGGGAAGUUAUAAAACCUUGAAAUUGAGACAUUUUAUGGGAAAAUUAUAUAUACAGAAAAUGAUUCAUAUAUUACAUUAUAUACAGAACACCAUAUUGAACUGUGGGGCUAGAACAGUGACACUGAAGAAAGUGUUUCAGUGUCAAUAUUUCCUUUUUAAUAAUGGCAAAUUUUAUUUAAAUGUAACUGUUUUUCACCCCACAGUCUUCCUGCUAUAUUCAUUUCUGCCUGACUAUAAUGAAUGUAUAAAAAGUAGAACACCUGAAGAAUUAAACUAUCAGCAAAUUCAGUUUUAUUCCUCCAUCCAAUACCCCUUACCCCUGAAGACCCAGGGGUUUCUUCUUUCAAUCUGAUUAAUGAGCUUGAAAUUGACAUUUUGGCAACAGCCAAGAAGAACACUCAUUUGUAAAAUUACCAGCAAAUGUAAAUUUGCUGAUUAGUGGAUAAAUUGCCAAAAUUUGUAACCCCAUUUAUUGGGUCACUGUGUGUAAAUUUUAAGCCCUGCUGGUUUCUUUUGUCUCAAUAAUUAGAAAUACGAUUCAAGUUUAUGAAUGAAGAAUAAA